GUGGGGAAUAUUGCACAAUGGGGGAAACCCUGAUGCAGCGACGCCGCGUGAGCGAAGAAGUAUUUCGGUAUGUAAAGCUCUAUCAGCAAGGAAGAUAAUGACGGUACUUGACUAAGAAGCUCCGGCUAAAUACGUGCCAGCAGCCGCGGUAAUACGUAUGGAGCAAGCGUUAUCCGGAUUUACUGGGUGUAAAGGGAGCGUAGACGGUGAGGCAAGUCUGAUGUGAAAGCCCGGGGCUCAACCCCGGAACUGCAUUGGAAACUGUCUUACUAGAGUGCAGGAGAGGUAAGCGGAAUUCCUAGUGUAGCGGUGAAAUGCGUAGAUAUUAGGAGGAACACCAGUGGCGAAGGCGGCUUACUGGACUGUAACUGACACUGAGGCUCGAAAGCGUGGGGAGCAAACAGG
RNAcentral lists this ribosomal RNA (405 nucleotides) under uncultured bacterium. RNAcentral describes it as "bacterial SSU rRNA". It matches the Rfam family "Bacterial small subunit ribosomal RNA", at positions 354 to 776 of the family's 1533-position model. The record is from RNAcentral.